Xenopus tropicalis (tropical clawed frog) is the source of this 263-nucleotide long non-coding RNA. RefSeq lists it as uncharacterized. NCBI's taxonomy places the organism in Eukaryota, Metazoa, Chordata, Amphibia, Anura, Pipidae. The record is from RefSeq and is a predicted model, not a curated record. The transcript has 3 exons.
CAGCACCACCAACUCCUCCAACCACCACAUCAUGUGCCUGUCAUCACGAGGGAAGAAUGUAUAUUCCAGGUGAUGAAAUAUUAAGAAGUCACAGUGGAGAAAGGGAUGGAAAAUGCUACAGCUAUAUAUGUGAUGUCAGCUGCAAGCAACCAACCCGUAUUGAACAACCUUGUGGACCUACACCACCACCACCAACACCACCAACUCCUCCAACCACCACAUCAUGUGCCUGUCAUCACGAGGGAAGAAUGUUUAUUCCAGGU